GAUGAACGCUAGCGGGAGGCUUAAUACAUGCAAGUCGGAGGGUAACGAGGGGCUUCGGCCCGCUGACGACCGGCGCACGGGUGAGUAACGCGUACGCAACUUACCUCCAAGCGAGGGAUAGCCCUGGGAAACUGGGAUUAAUACCUCAUGUGAUUAAUGAUGCCGCAUUGGUGUUAUAAUUAAAGUUCAGGCGCUUGGAGAUGGGCGUGCGUCCUAUUAGCUAGUUGGUGAGGUAACGGCUCACCAAGGCGACGAUAGGUAGGGGGCGUGAGAGCGUGGCCCCCCANACGGGUACUGAGACACGGACCCGACUCCUACGGGAGGCAGCAGGUAAGGAAUAUUGGACAAUGGGCGCAAGCCUGAUCCAGCCAUCCCGCGUGCAGGAUGACAG
Molecule: ribosomal RNA, 391 nt
Filed under: uncultured bacterium
Lineage: Bacteria
Description: bacterial SSU rRNA
Rfam family: Bacterial small subunit ribosomal RNA
Source: RNAcentral